AGGCCUAACACAUGCAAGUCGAACGGUAGCACAGAGAGCUUGCUCUCGGGUGACGAGUGGCGGACGGGUGAGUAAUGUCUGGGAAACUGCCUGAUGGAGGGGGAUAACUACUGGAAACGGUAGCUAAUACCGCAUAACGUCGCAAGACCAAAGAGGGGGACCUUCGGGCCUCUUGCCAUCAGAUGUGCCCAGAUGGGAUUAGCUAGUAGGUGGGGUAACGGCUCACCUAGGCGACGAUCCCUAGCUGGUCUGAGAGGAUGACCAGCCACACUGGAACUGAGACACGGUCCAGACUCCUACGGGAGGCAGCAGUGGGGAAUAUUGCACAAUGGGCGCAAGCCUGAUGCAGCCAUGUCGCGUGUAUGAAGAAGGCCUUCGGGUUGUAAAGUACUUUCAGCGGGGAGGAAGGUGUUGCGGUUAAUAACCGCAGCAAUUGACGUUACCCGCAGAAGAAGCACCGGCUAACUCCGUGCCAGCAGCCGCGGUAAUACGGAGGGUGCAAGCGUUAAUCGGAAUUACUGGGCGUAAAGCGCACGCAGGCGGUCUGUCAAGUCGGAUGUGAAAUCCCCGGGCUCAACCUGGGAACUGCAUUCGAAACUGGCAGGCUAGAGUCUUGUAGAGGGGGGUAGAAUUCCAGGUGUAGCGGUGAAAUGCGUAGAGAUCUGGAGGAAUACCGGUGGCGAAGGCGGC
This 690-nucleotide ribosomal RNA is filed under the name uncultured Enterobacterales bacterium. RNAcentral describes it as "bacterial SSU rRNA". It matches the Rfam family "Bacterial small subunit ribosomal RNA", at positions 44 to 725 of the family's 1533-position model. The record is from RNAcentral. Lineage: Bacteria; Pseudomonadati; Pseudomonadota; Gammaproteobacteria; Enterobacterales.